RNAcentral lists this transfer RNA (75 nucleotides) under Gemmatimonadetes bacterium T265. Its description in RNAcentral is "tRNA-Val". It matches the Rfam family "tRNA". Rfam says of the family: Transfer RNA (tRNA) molecules are approximately 80 nucleotides in length. Their secondary structure includes four short double-helical elements and three loops (D, anti-codon, and T loops). Further hydrogen bonds mediate the characteristic L-shaped molecular structure. tRNAs have two regions of fundamental functional importance: the anti-codon, which is responsible for specific mRNA codon recognition, and the 3' end, to which the tRNAs corresponding amino acid is attached (by aminoacyl-tRNA synthetases). tRNAs cope with the degeneracy of the genetic code in two manners: having more than one tRNA (with a specific anti-codon) for a particular amino acid; and 'wobble' base-pairing, i.e. permitting non-standard base-pairing at the 3rd anti-codon position. Lineage: Bacteria; Pseudomonadati; Gemmatimonadota. The record is from RNAcentral.
GGGCGAAUAGCUCAGUUGGUUAGAGCGCCUGUCUUACACACAGGAUGUCGGGGGUUCGAGUCCCUCUUCGCCCAC